GGCCCUGGAAAGCCAAAAUUUGGCAGCAGCCUCUGAGUCUGGUGCAGGCUCAGGCAGCCCAGCAGCUGGAGGACACGUGCCCAGCACCCAGCAAGGCCCACAUGAAGAAUAAGGACUGCCACCACCUGCCAGCAUGAGGAACUGGGAGGGAAAAUCAGCAAGGAUAUACAGCCACGUAUGGUCCCAAUUCCUCUGCGAGAUGUAAGAUGUGCCUUGGCUCUGCGACAGUCACAGGACUUGUUAAAAGAGAUGCAAACCAAAGAAGACUGGCACAGCUUGUACUGUCUUACCCAGUCUAGCUUCAUUCUGUCAGGGAACAUCAAUUAAAUCAGAUGAAGAAAUUAGGGAGCUUUUGUCUAGCUGGUGAGUUAAAUAAAUAUUGAUUAAAAUAAAAUUAUUGCUAAGCAGAUGAGUCAAAAUAACCACCAUACCAAUUCGUAUGUUUAUAUAAAGCCAAGUGGUGUGGGAAUACAAGUGUCAAAUAUAGGCCCAGA
Non-coding RNA from Taeniopygia guttata (zebra finch), 494 nucleotides. NCBI's taxonomy places the organism in Eukaryota, Metazoa, Chordata, Aves, Passeriformes, Estrildidae. The record is from RefSeq and is a predicted model, not a curated record.